GACGAACGCUGGCGGCGUGCUUCAUACAUGCAAGUCGAACGAGCAGCUGACUACGGUCAGUGGCAAGCGGCGGCCGGGUGCGUAAUAUGUAGGAAAUCUGCCUCUAGGUGUGGGACAACAGAGGGAAACUUCUGCUAAUACCCCAAAUGAGCGUAGCAGAAAUGCUAUUUUUGAAAGCUCCGGUGCCUAAAGAUGAGUCUGCAUCUGAUUAGCUAGUUGCGAGUGUAAUGGACUACCAAGGCGAGGAUCAGUAGCUGGAUUAGGAGGAUGAGCACCAAAAAUCGAAAGGAGACACGGAUCAGAAUCCUACGGGAGACGGCAAUAGAGAAAUGGACGCAAGGGGCGAAAGCCAGACGAAGCUACGCCGCGUGAACGAUUCAGCCCUUCGGGGUGUAAAGUUGUGUCAGUGGGGACGAAUCUUGACGGUACCCACAGAGGAAGCACCGGCUAACUCCGUG
RNAcentral lists this ribosomal RNA (458 nucleotides) under uncultured bacterium. RNAcentral describes it as "partial 16S ribosomal RNA". It matches the Rfam family "Bacterial small subunit ribosomal RNA", at positions 28 to 507 of the family's 1533-position model. The record is from RNAcentral.